RNAcentral lists this ribosomal RNA (428 nucleotides) under uncultured bacterium. Its description in RNAcentral is "bacterial SSU rRNA". It matches the Rfam family "Bacterial small subunit ribosomal RNA", at positions 355 to 774 of the family's 1533-position model. The record is from RNAcentral.
UGGGGAAUAUUGCGCAAUGGGCGGAAGCCUGACGCAGCAACGCCGCGUGGGUGAUGAAGGCCUUCGGGUCGUAAAGCCCUGUCGGGAGGGACGAAACCUCGGUGACCUAAUACGUCACCGACCUGACGGUACCUCUUAAGGAAGCACCGGCUAACUCCGUGCCAGCAGCCGCGGUAAUACGGAGGGUGCGAGCGUUGUUCGGAAUUACUGGGCGUAAAGCGUGCGCAGGCGGUCUUGCAAGACAGUGGUGAAAUCCCCGGGCUCAACCUGGGAACUGCCAUUGUGACUGCAAGGCUGGAGUACGGCAGAGGGGGAUGGAAUUCCGCGUGUAGCAGUGAAAUGCGUAGAUAUGCGGAGGAACACCGAUGGCGAAGGCAGUCCCCUGGGCCUGUACUGACGCUCAUGCACGAAAGCGUGGGGAGCAAACA